CAAAGAAGAUACCAUGUCUGCCUGAUCGUCACCUUUUGGUGAUGGCCAGGAGGAAAGUCCGAACACCAUAGGGCAGGAUACUUCCUAACGGGAAGUCUCGGUAACGGGAAGCCAGCUCCACAGAAACAAACCGCUCCAGACUGGCUCUGGAGUAAGGGUGAAACGGUAGUGUAAGAGACUACCAGAUUCCGGGGUGACUCGGGAUGCUCGGAAAGCCUUAUCCGGUGCAAUGCCAAAUAGGAAAGUAGUGUUGGCAUGCCAACGCAGAGUGGCCCGCUUUGUAUUACUUUCGGGUGGGCAGCUACAACCGGUCGCAUAGCGAGUUCGAUAGAACAUAGCAAUAUCCGGGGUAGAGAAAUAGACAUAGGGCUGUUUAUUAGACAGUUCACAGAAUUCGGCUUAUGAUCUUCUUUGACCA
RNAcentral lists this RNase P RNA (418 nucleotides) under Candidatus Cloacimonadota bacterium. Its description in RNAcentral is "RNase P RNA component class A". It matches the Rfam family "Bacterial RNase P class A". From Rfam's summary of the family: Ribonuclease P (RNase P) is a ubiquitous endoribonuclease, found in archaea, bacteria and eukarya as well as chloroplasts and mitochondria. Its best characterised activity is the generation of mature 5'-ends of tRNAs by cleaving the 5'-leader elements of precursor-tRNAs. Cellular RNase Ps are ribonucleoproteins. Lineage: Bacteria; Pseudomonadati; Candidatus Cloacimonadota. The record is from RNAcentral.